Molecule: ribosomal RNA, 253 nt
Filed under: uncultured bacterium
Lineage: Bacteria
Description: partial 16S ribosomal RNA
Rfam family: Bacterial small subunit ribosomal RNA
Source: RNAcentral
UACAGAGGGGGCGAGCGUUGUUCGGAAUUACUGGGCGUAAAGGGCUCGUAGGCGGCCAACUAAGUCCGACGUGAAAUCCCCAGGCUUAACCUGGGAACUGCGUCGGAUACUGGAUGGCUUGAAUCCGGGAGAGGGAUGCGGAAUUCCAGGUGUAGCGGUGAAAUGCGUAGAUAUCUGGAGGAACACCGGUGGCGAAGGCGGCAUCCUGGACCGGCAUUGACGCUGAGGAGCGAAAGCCAGGGGAGCAAACGGG